Molecule: ribosomal RNA, 253 nt
Filed under: uncultured bacterium
Lineage: Bacteria
Description: partial 16S ribosomal RNA
Rfam family: Bacterial small subunit ribosomal RNA
Source: RNAcentral
UACGUAGGGUGCGAGCGUUGUCCGGAUUUACUGGGCGUAAAGAGCGCGCAGGCGGUCGUUCAAGUCGCGUGUGAAAGCCCCCGGCUCAACUGGGGAGGGUCACGCGAUACUGAUCGACUCGAAGGCAGGAGAGGGUAGUGGAAUUCCCGGUGUAGUGGUGAAAUGCGUAGAUAUCGGGAGGAACACCAGUGGCGAAGGCGACUCACUGGCCCGAUACUGACGCUGAGGCGCGAAAGCGUGGGGAGCAAACAGG